Molecule: long non-coding RNA, 579 nt
Organism: Neofelis nebulosa (Clouded leopard)
Lineage: Eukaryota; Metazoa; Chordata; Mammalia; Carnivora; Felidae
Exons: 3
Source: RefSeq, a predicted model, not a curated record
ACCCCCCCCCCACCCCCCCACCCCGCUCGGGCUGCGGCCUUCGGCAAGUUUGGGCACCUCCCGGGCGCAGGCGCUGGGGACCACGAGAGGGACUGAGCCUGGCCCUCGGGGCGCCCACAGUCUGGGGAGAAAGUAACCACGGUUCACAAAAAUGGAUCAUCUCGGCGAGUGGGCCAAUGGAAAUCCUAACGCCUCUGACCGGAUUUCUUUGUCAGUGUGGAGACGGCUCGGAGCCUCUUCUGAAAACACCAUCGAGAGCAUAAGAGGGGAGGGGGAAGAAGACGGAGACGGGGAGCGAGAGGGAGAGAAUCUUAAGCAGGCUGCAGGCUCAGCACGGAGCCCGAUGUCGGUCGAUCCCAUGACCCUGCAUUCGGGACCUGAGCCAGAACAAAAAAUUGGACAUUCAGCCGGCUGAGCCACCCAGGCUUUCUUAAGGGUUUGUAAACAUUUGUCCAUAGGCCAGAGCCCCCAGGAGAAGGUGACGUUGUCCUGCCUUUGCAUACAGGGUCAUUUUAGUUCUCUAGUGGGGCUGGAGACCCUAAGUCCCUCUCCUCACGCCUGUGUCUUGCUUGAGGACGG